RNAcentral lists this ribosomal RNA (400 nucleotides) under uncultured Pseudomonas sp. Its description in RNAcentral is "bacterial SSU rRNA". It matches the Rfam family "Bacterial small subunit ribosomal RNA", at positions 975 to 1375 of the family's 1533-position model. Lineage: Bacteria; Pseudomonadati; Pseudomonadota; Gammaproteobacteria; Pseudomonadales; Pseudomonadaceae. The record is from RNAcentral.
CAGCCUUUGACAUGUCCUGGACCGGAYUCAGAGAUGCGAUCUUCUCUUCGGAGCGUGGACACAGGUGCUGCAUGGCUGUCGUCAGCUCGUGUCGUGAGAUGUUGGGUUAAGUCCCGCAACGAGCGCAACCCUUGCCCUUAGUUGCCACCAUUUAGUUGGGCACUCUAAGGGGACUGCCGGUGAUAAGCCGGAGGAAGGUGGGGAUGACGUCAAGUCCUCAUGGCCCUUACRGGCUGGGCUACACACGUGCUACAAUGGUCGUGACAAUGGGAAGCGAAGGGGCGANUCCUAGCAAAUCUCGAAAAAGCCGUCUCAGUUCGGAUUGCACUCUGCAACUCGACUCCAUGAAGUCGGAAUCGCUAGUAAUCGUGGAUCAGCAUGCUGCGGUGAAUACGUUCCC